Molecule: non-coding RNA, 5703 nt
Organism: Podarcis lilfordi (Lilford's wall lizard)
Lineage: Eukaryota; Metazoa; Chordata; Lepidosauria; Squamata; Lacertidae
Source: the annotation of a GenBank genome assembly
GCUUCCAGGUGCCAUAAGAAAGCUGCAGAGAUAGUGCAGGAUAGUGGGCACCCUGGAAAUGAUCUCUUUCAGCUUCUGCCUUCUGGAAGAAGGUACAGAGUUAUAAAGACUAGGACUAGCCGCCUGAGAAACAGUUUCUAUUCAAAUUUGAUUUUGGUUUUAACGCAGUGUAAGGUAGUCUCUAUGGGAGUAUAUUGUAUUUAAUGAUGGGGUAUCAAAGUUUUUAGGGGGCUAACCAGGCUGGGAUAGCUGGGAUAGCAGGCUUGUUGCUUUCUGAAUGUCUGAUGUAGAUUUUCAAUUUCGUUGUUCUGCAUGGAACAAUGACAGUAAAGAUUAUUGUAUCGUAGUGAGUGUUUUGUCCUUUCAGCUCUCUUAAUCUAAGUGAGGAAAAACAACUUUAUGCCACAAAACUAUUCUGUUAAUUUAACGGAUACACCAGCUGCCUAAGAAAAGCCAUUAUAAUUCUUUACUUGUGUUAAGGAGAUGGCAAGGGGAGGAGGUACAGUGGAGCAAACCAUUAUAGGCGGAUGCAUUCUUCUGGUUUGUAGCUUUAGUUGCUACGGAGCAUGCAACAUUGGGCAGAAUUGUCCUAAAGAACUCAAGCGCUGCAUAAUGGAAGCUGCGCCUGCAUUUCUGUUUGCAUUCAUAAUAACAUGUUAUCUUGUGGAAUAGGAAAGUUAAACAGGAUUGUUUGGCUUAAGAGAGUUACAUGUUUAAAAACCAGAGCUCAUUGUUUGCUGUCAAGGUGUAAAUGGGCUUUUUAUCAGGGUUACAAGCUGCCCUCAACAGUGCUCUGCAAGUAAAUGCUUUAGGGGAACAGCCAGUUAAUUAUAUUUAUGAGAAAUCCAAAUCAGCUUUAUAACAUUUGGAUUUUCUAACCCUUAAUAAAAUAUCCACCCUGGCCAACUGGCAGUGUUUUAUCACCGGGCUCUAAGACGUCUGGGAGUUCAUAAAGACUCUAUCAAUUGUAAUUCAAAAAAGCUCAAAAGAUGUGAUUUAUUACCAUGUUGCAACACAAAUUCCUUUGUGAUAUGAAAAUUCCUUGUCCUAUAGAAGGUCAUAAUUUAAUUAUCAUCCUCUUAUUCACAUUCCUAAUAAUUAAAUAUUGUACUUUCCUCUUCAAAUAUGCAUAUUGCUUUUGGGGGAGGUAUCUCAUUGUGAACAGAAUUGGUGUGUGCCGGUUAAGAGAAUGCAGCAAGCUUUGUCAAAAAACAAGUCUGAAGGAAAUGAGUCUGGUUGAAUGGUGGACAUCCACUAUGAACUGAGCUAACAACUUGUCCUAUGGUUCAGAUUAAUUUCUUGCAGAUACGUAUAUUGUGUUGACGAAAAUGCAAAAGCAGUUUUUCCAAAAGCCCUCAGCUCCUGGUUAUUCAAACAAGGAUGUGAGAGAGCUUGAAAAAAAUGAGUCCAAAAUCUCUUCCAGCUUAAAGGUAUUGACUCCCUAAUUCUCUCUCUAGCCUCAUUAAACUGAGGCAGGUGACUUUGUCACAAGCAAGAACUCAUAUAAAAGGCAGAAUAGUUUGCAGUGACUUUACAAAGCAAUAAAAAUGCAUUUCAGGUACAUGCAGAAUGUUUGCUGCUGUUUUCAUUAGUGGAGCUUACCUUUCCCUUGGUGGGCACCCUUUCCCCCAUGCAGCUGCUGUCUCUUUCUUCCAUCUCUGCAGCGUCUCCACUCAGGUACGGGGUGGGAGGGUCCCCUUAGAAAUGGCAGGGUGCGCACUUGGAGCCACCGAUGCCGACCGAGCUGUUCGCUUUGCAGUGAUGCCUCAGACCUUCGUCCUUGUCCUCAGAGAACGCGGAUUCCUGGGUCAAUUGCUUGGAAGGCAGCUAUGCUAACCACUAUACCACCAACGAUCUAUAGCUUGGCAGUAUAUGUAAUCUAAACCAAAACAUGGCAUGAGGGGCCACUAGGGGCGCAUCGGAAGAUGGCUGACAAUAACAUCUCUCCGACCCACAUGAGGUAAUUAGGAGGCUGUGAUGGGAGUAAAUAGCCUCCCUACCCCCCCCCCAAGGUUGUGGGGGGGGGCUGCCCUUGCCUGCUGUGCCCUAUACCACCCCCGAAUUUGUGGGGAUGGGGGCACUAGGCAGAAUGCCCUCCUGUGGAUCUCGGCGCUCCUGGACGCUGUCUCUGAUUCGCGCCGCUAGCUGCAAGAACUUCAAAAGAAACAAUUAGGAGGAAGCGAAUGCACAUAUUUCCAGGAAGGAGGGGGAGUAAAGACUGCUAACUGAAGAGAUCUCUGGUAAACAAGACGGGUCGGAGGAACAAGAUAAAUCAUGAGAAGAAAUGCCAAGGCUUGGUACGGCAAAGGGCUGGAGGGGGGAGGGGGGGAACUUUCCUUUUUUCUCCUCUAUGUGAUUAACCAAGAAUCCCCCCCCCCACAAGUCAGAAAUGUCGUUUUAAUGACUUAAGCUUGGAUUUAUGACUGUGUGGAGAUAAAUUUUCUAACCAAAGCAUGUUUUAAGAAGAUCGUGCAAAGUAUAAGAGCUUUGGAAUGACGCAGUUAAAAAUGCAGUCGCCAUGUUGGCAAGUUCUAUCGGAGGACUUGGGUCUGGGAGGAGAAAUAGAGCUGCUUUUAUAUUGUGGAUGUGACUCCUCAGAGGGAUUUAAGAGCGACAGUUUUGCAAGAUUAAUGAUGGAAAGAGCGAUGUUAUUUAUGAAAAUGAUGAUAUAUGGAAACCAUCUUGAUAUGAAGAUUGGACGAACAGAAAAAUUCACACAGGAUUAUAAUUGGUGUUUAUCUGCUUAAGGAGAUUAUCAGAAGAGAUCAUAAAGAAAAAAGAAAAAAAAUAUACGAACAAGAUGAGAUGUGGAAACAGCAAGACAAGACUGGAUAGAAUUAUGAACUUUAUGAACUUUAUUUGGACUGAUUUGGAUAUUAACGCAGUAGCAAGAAGAUGAUCGGAAUCCCCCUUCGGAACUUGAAAUAUAGGUCCCCUCAACAAAAAAUUAAAAUUCGGCUUUGUAAUUCGGAAUUUAUGUGAUGUGAUUUAAUUUGAUUUGAUUGGUCGGUUAAUAAAAAUUAUUUUAAAAAAACACACCAAAACAUGGCCUGUUUGCAUGUUUACAAUAUAAAAAUACAAGGUAAGAAAUGGAAGCCUAUUGGAGUUGGAAUGCGGAGAAGGGGUUAAAGCAAAAAGUUCUCAAAGUGGUACUCAGAUGGAUAAUUAAGAGUGUUCCUUUCGUACAUUUAUGCAUUUAUAAGAAAAUGGAUAAACCAAUGAAUUGCUACCCAAGUGCUGAACAAUGAACCAAUGAAUUGCUACCCAGGUGCUGAACAAAAAUUUACAGAAAUAUAUAACAACUACACUACAAACAUAUUUAGGACAACAGAUAAAAAGCUCCUGCAUCAUAUAUAUAUAGUGUCAGCUGCGGGCAAUUCCGUAAGCAAUUUGUGAAGUUCGGAGUAUUGAGACAAUAGUUUUAAACCAAAACCUUUAUGUCAUAUCAAUUAUGAUGGUUGAUUAUUAUUAAUUUGUUGCCAUGUAUCAUUGUGGUUUCAAGGUGACUUACGAGGAACACAAAGUAAAAUAUUUUCAAAGUGACAUACAAUAAACUGCAAUGAAAAGAUAAAAGUGAUCAUACACUCUCAAUAAUUGAACCCUCCCUGCCCAUCCCGCUCCAUUACCACUGAGUAUUCUCUGGACAUUGCAACUAUUAAACCCAUUUAUUAAGGCGAUUACCCUGAGGUCAGUAGUGGAUAACUUGGAAAUGGAGGCUAUUUUCCAGGAAACUUCACAUAGUAGGUAUUUGGACCAGCUUUGCAUACUAUAGCAAUAAUACCUCACAGCGCAUCUCAGGAGGUCUCAUGAACUGUGCAUGUUAAUAGCAAGUUACGCUAUUGUUGCAUUAAAAAGAGGCAUUUGGUUCAUGGUGGCCCAUAUUUGACUCUGUUUUGUCCCAUUAUCUGGCGAUAAUAGAGAGAAGCCAACCUUGUCAAAGUAUACAUUCAAUUACUUGGCUUGCAAUGUGUAUUGUAAAUUGGUUUUACAUGUUGUGCUUGUUAGAUUUAUAGGGCAACCAGGCAAUAAAGAAUGAUGAGCACUGAAUAUUUUGGGCAUAGUAGACUUUUAUCACAAGCCAUCUGAUAUUUGACAGAUAGAAAUGGCUGGAAGCUCCUGGUGUCUUUGUGGCUGUGGAGCUAUAACUGGGAUCGAGGACUGAACGCAUUAUGAUGGCCUCUCACCCUGUGCCAACCACAAACCCAACUAUCACACUAAGGGAGGGCACCUGUUAGUUUAACUUACAACUUAUAUUACUGGGAUCAAGUGGUUUCUUUUCUUUCUCUUCCUUACUUUCUUUUUGCAAUUUUAACCAGUCACUUUAGGGAUUUGUUUUUAUGCAUCCUUUUAUAAUUUAAUGCAACCUGCAUUGAGUUCUUAUUUAAAUACGGUGAGGUACAUUUUAAAAAUAAAUUACAUUUCAGGAGAUAGGAUUUAAUAAUAUUAACAACAGAGCAUAGAGGCAGCCAAUGUGAUGUUCUUUGAGAAGUUGCUAGAUUCCAGCCUCCAUCAGCUCCAGGCAGCCCAGUGAUUAUGGGAGUCUAAGAACUCAGUAUUUCAAUUAGCAUUUUUAAAUAACAUUUAGAUUAAAAGAACUGGAAAAGCCAGUUUGUUAUCUGCUAGACACAGACAUUAUGUUUACACAAGAAAAUUUGACCACACUUCUGCACAUAAUCAGACAAAUAGGCAGUGGGUACAAUUCAGUUCAUAACUGGACAGGACAAUGUAGAUCAUUACAGACCAUAGUUAUUGUCAGUGUUAUAUGGUAAGUACGGUAAUUUCUUGGUAAAUGAUCAUCUUUAUUCACCCCAGAUUUGCCUGCACACUGAUGACUUCAGUAGUACUCUAAUGAGAACUGUUCCCCAAGUUAUUUGAUGCUUUCUUCUUCCACAAAGUGGGCUUCCAUUCUGUCUAAUUCAAAGGGUGCGUUCAGGGCUGUCUUAAGCAUAUGCAGUGCCAGGGUGCAAAGAUUUGCCCAGUGCCCCCCCCCAGGUUGCCCAGUCCCAGGCACACAGGAGGGCGGAGCCGGCCAGCCACCUCAGUGUCUCAGUGGCUUGGUCACCCCCAAACUCAUGGCACAGAGCCGCCCGCAGCAGAAGAGCCUGCUGUGGUGCUCCGACCAACGGGCAGGCUCUUCCCUGGACUCAACUCUCAGGCCCCAGACUCUUGGCCUGGUGCCCCUGAGAGCCAGGUGCCUGGGUGCCCUGCACCCCUAGUGCCUAUGGGUAAGACGGCCCUGGGUACAUUACAAUUCCUUUAUCAUUUUUUAAGGUGCGUAGUUCAGGUUUUUGUUGUGAGGUAGUCAAUAUUUCAUUACCAUUAAAUAUUUCCCCAGCACUCUGCAGCCUUCCUGGUUGUCCUCACUCCCUGAUCUAAAAAGGCCUCAUAGGAAGAUAGGCUCACAAUGGCCUUUAAUUGAAACAUGGGAAGCCAGGGGGACUGGCUAGCAAGCACCAAGAUUGGUGAGCUUGCUGAUUUUGUUUUUAAGGCAAUGUCUUCCUUUCACCUUAAAAAGAACCUCACUUUUUCUGGAAAGACCAGCCAUGGACAUAUUGCAGUUUGCAGGGAGCAUGGGCAUCUAGGAAAGCUUGAAAAAUGCAUACCACCAAAGAUAUAGCUUGUAUUAUUUUAUUUAUUUUAAUUCAUAAAAUUUAUACCCCACUUGAUUGUAAAAGAAACCCUCAAAGCACUUUACAAAAAGCU